This 497-nucleotide ribosomal RNA is filed under the name uncultured bacterium. RNAcentral's name for it is "partial 16S ribosomal RNA". It matches the Rfam family "Bacterial small subunit ribosomal RNA", at positions 28 to 507 of the family's 1533-position model. The record is from RNAcentral.
GAUGAACGCUGGCGGCGUGCCUAAUACAUGCAAGUCGAGCGAACAGAUGAGGAGCUUGCUCCUCUGACGUUAGCGGCGGACGGGUGAGUAACACGUGGAUAACCUACCUAUAAGACUGGGAUAACUUCGGGAAACCGGAGCUAAUACCGGAUAAUAUAUUGAACCGCAUGGUUCAAUAGUGAAAGACGGUUUUGCUGUCACUUAUAGAUGGAUCCGCGCCGCAUUAGCUAGUUGGUAAGGUAACGGCUUACCAAGGCAACGAUGCGUAGCCGACCUGAGAGGGUGAUCGGCCACCCUGGAACUGAGACACGGUCCAGACUCCUACGGGAGGCAGCAGUAGGGAAUCUUCCGCAAUGGGCGAAAGCCUGACGGAGCAACGCCGCGUGAGUGAUGAAGGUCUUCGGAUCGUAAAACUCUGUUAUUAGGGAAGAACAAAUGCGUAAGUAACUAUGCACGUCUUGACGGUACCUAAUCAGAAAGCCACGGCUAACUACGUG